RNAcentral lists this long non-coding RNA (539 nucleotides) under Musa acuminata (dwarf banana). Its description in RNAcentral is "long non-coding RNA (MACU_LNC002856)". The record is from RNAcentral. Lineage: Eukaryota; Viridiplantae; Streptophyta; Magnoliopsida; Zingiberales; Musaceae.
UGGCAAGCAGAGUGGUGUUCUUCCCAUUCUGGACGAAAGCCGGGAAGGAUCCAUCGCCGAUGUCCACCCCGCCGGAGAAGACGGAGACGGAGGCCGCGUCGUAGAGGUAGGCUAUCUUGCUGUUGGGGUUGCGGGCGGUGACGUUGAGGUCGAGCCGGGAGGUGAUGUGCCCGGCAGCGGAGACGUUGAAAGCGGCGAGGCGGAGGCCGCCGACCUCGAACGUGGGGCGACGGGGGUGGUAGAUGAGGUAGAAGACGCCGGCGGCGAUGGCGGCGAGAAAGACGAGGGCGACCACGAUGAGGGUGAUCCAGAGGCAGCAGGAGCAGCAGCAGCCCCGACGCCUGCGGCGGCGAGGCGGCGGCUUCCGCGGCUGGGGGCGAUAGGCCGGGAGGGUUGCACCGUAUGUCUGGCCCUUCGUCGGCGGGAAGGAGGGUUGCCCCCCGCCGCCGCCGCCGUUGAGGGCCUGGGGAGGGUUGUGGUUGGGCUUCGCCGAAGCGUAGACUUGCUCCGCCAUCGCCGCCGCCGUCCUCCUCGCUCUC